CAUGCCGCGUGCAGGAUGAAGCAUCUAUGGUGUGUAAACUGCUUUUGUACGGGAAGAAACCCUGGCUCGUGAGCCAGAUUGGCGGUACCGUAAGAAUAAGGAUCGGCUAACUCCGUGCCAGCAGCCGCGGUAAUACGGAGGAUCCAAGCGUUAUCCGGAAUCAUUGGGUUUAAAGGGUCCGUAGGCGGGCCAGUAAGUCAGUGGUGAAAUCUCUCCGCUCAACGGGGAAAUGGCCAUUGAUACUGCUGGUCUUGAAUUAUUAGGAAGUAACUAGGAUAUGUAGUGUAGCGGUGAAAUGCUUAGAGAUUACAUGGAAUACCAAUUGCGAAGGCAGGUCACUACUAAUUGAUUGACGCUGAUGGACGAAAGCGUGGGUAGCGAACAGGAUUAGAUACCCUGGUAGUCCACGCCGUAAACGAUGGAUACUAGCUGUUGGGGGCAACCUCAGCGGCUAAGCGAAAGUGAUAAGUAUCCCACCUGGGGAGUACGUUCGCAAGAAUGAAACUCAAAGGAAUUGACGGGGGCCCGCACAAGCGGUGGAGCAUGUGGUUUAAUUCGAUGAUACGCGAGGAACCUUACCAAGGCUUAAAUGUAGAUUGACAGGACUGGAAACAGUUUUUUCUUCGGACAAUUUACAAGGUGCUGCAUGGUUGUCGUCAGCUCGUGCCGUGAGGUGUCAGGUUAAGUCCUAUAACGAGCGCAACCCCUGUUGUUAGUUGCCAGCGAGUAAGGUCGGGAACUCUAACAAGACUGCCAGUGCACACUGUGAGGAAGGUGGGGAUGACGUCAAAUCAUCACGGCCCUUACGCCUUGGGCUACACACGUGCUACAAUGGCCGGUACAGAGAGCAGCCACCUCGUGAGGGGGAGCGAAUCUAUAAAACCGGUCACAGUUCGGAUCGGAGUCUGCAACUCGA
Molecule: ribosomal RNA, 916 nt
Filed under: uncultured Flavobacterium sp.
Lineage: Bacteria; Pseudomonadati; Bacteroidota; Flavobacteriia; Flavobacteriales; Flavobacteriaceae
Description: bacterial SSU rRNA
Rfam family: Bacterial small subunit ribosomal RNA
Source: RNAcentral